This 828-nucleotide ribosomal RNA is filed under the name Alternaria sp. RNAcentral's name for it is "partial large subunit ribosomal RNA". It matches the Rfam family "Eukaryotic large subunit ribosomal RNA", at positions 71 to 917 of the family's 3401-position model. The record is from RNAcentral. Lineage: Eukaryota; Fungi; Ascomycota; Dothideomycetes; Pleosporales; Pleosporaceae.
GGGAUUGCCCUAGUAACGGCGAGUGAAGCGGCAACAGCUCAAAUUUGAAAUCUGGCUCUUUUAGAGUCCGAGUUGUAAUUUGCAGAGGGCGCUUUGGCUUUGGCAGCGGUCCAAGUUCCUUGGAACAGGACGUCACAGAGGGUGAGAAUCCCGUACGUGGUCGCUGGCUAUUGCCGUGUAAAGCCCCUUCGACGAGUCGAGUUGUUUGGGAAUGCAGCUCUAAAUGGGAGGUACAUUUCUUCUAAAGCUAAAUAUUGGCCAGAGACCGAUAGCGCACAAGUAGAGUGAUCGAAAGAUGAAAAGCACUUUGGAAAGAGAGUCAAACAGCACGUGAAAUUGUUGAAAGGGAAGCGCUUGCAGCCAGACUUGCUUACAGUUGCUCAUCCGGGUUUCUACCCGGUGCACUCUUCUGUAGGCAGGCCAGCAUCAGUUUGGGCGGUAGGAUAAAGGUCUCUGUCACGUACCUCCUUUCGGGGAGGCCUUAUAGGGGAGACGACAUACUACCAGCCUGGACUGAGGUCCGCGCAUCUGCUAGGAUGCUGGCGUAAUGGCUGUAAGCGGCCCGUCUUGAAACACGGACCAAGGAGUCUAACAUCUAUGCGAGUGUUUGGGUGUCAAGCCCGAGCGCGUAAUGAAAGUGAACGGAGGUGGGAACCCGCAAGGGUGCACCAUCGACCGAUCCUGAUGUCUUCGGAAGGAUUUGAGUAAGAGCAUGGCUGUUGGGACCCGAAAGAUGGUGAACUAUGCUUGAAUAGGGUGAAGCCAGAGGAAACUCUGGUGGAGGCUCGCAGCGGUUCUGACGUGCAAAUCGAUCGUCAAAUUUGGGCA